This is a long non-coding RNA of Talpa occidentalis (Iberian mole), 703 nucleotides long. RefSeq lists it as uncharacterized. The record is from RefSeq and is a predicted model, not a curated record. NCBI's taxonomy places the organism in Eukaryota, Metazoa, Chordata, Mammalia, Eulipotyphla, Talpidae. The transcript is spliced from 4 exons.
UACAUACCCUUUAACCCUGGCCAGCUGAACAAGGGGCCCUGGACAGCUCAGAAACAAUAGACACACAGCUAAUAUUUUAUUUAAGAGCUGACAGAAGCCACAGCUGUAUGGAUCCUGUAGCCCAUGGACUGAACUAUUUUAAUUUAGAUGUCCAGCUCGUCAGGAGCUGCUGCCCUAUAAGGGUGGUAGCAGGAGAGAGACCAAAAAUAGUUUCGACUAAAAGUCUGCGCAAUGUAGAUUUGGAGGAAAAUAUUUCUCAUAUCUGGAACAAAGUGUUUAGGUUAUUUUGAGAAUGAAGAGCCUGAUGCAGAUGGUUCUUUACAGAAAGGCAAAAACAAAAUCAGAUCCAUUUCUAGGAAAUGGAUCAUAAAAGGGUGAAGUUCAUCUUUUAUAAAUAAAACACUACAACCUUCACAUCAAAGUCAGGAUCCAGAGGUGUUUAAGAUUGUGAGUGCACCUGAAGUCUAACCACUGCCCUUUGCUCGAGCUCAGUGUUGGAAUGUCUUAUGGAAGGAUUUCAGUUCUUGCGGCCUUUUCUGGUAAUUCAAAGGUGCAUCUCAGGAACUCACGUUCAGAUCCAUGGCAGGCCCAUAGAUCCCAAGCCUGGAGCUCAGUUAUGGCAGAAGAUCUAACCUGGAUGUAGCCCUCCUUAAUCAUAAAUUAUAAAACUGAAACUAUAUCAAUUGGCCUCUUUAUAACUCAU